RNAcentral lists this long non-coding RNA (584 nucleotides) under Mus caroli (Ryukyu mouse). Its description in RNAcentral is "predicted gene 29088 (MGP_CAROLIEiJ_G0004471.1)". The record is from RNAcentral. Lineage: Eukaryota; Metazoa; Chordata; Mammalia; Rodentia; Muridae.
AAAAAUCCAAUGUUGUCAGUGGAACUCUGAGAAGACUGACUAUAUUCAGAUCUCCCUAGGCUUCUCUUACCUCAUUUUGCACCAGAUGGUUUACUGCCUCAGCUCCUGACAUAUAAGGUUUCCAGCUGUAGCAGUGCAUGAAGCUGAGCAGGGGCCACCUGGGUCAUCAGAAGAACAUUGCUGUGUUUCAGGACUGAAGACCAACAUGCAAGCUCCUGGGACUUCCCGAGGACUUCUAAGGGCAGGAAGAAGACCUGCCUUUCAUGUCCUUGAAGUUGUCACUCACAGCUAGGCAGUAUCUUUUGGAACUCAUCCAAGGGCAUCACAGGACUCUCAACUCAAAGCUGAGGUCAGCCAUAUCUCAGAGCCAGAACAGGAAGGAAACUUCAAAUUUCACCUGCACAGAUGCUCCAGACUUCUUUAUCUUCUUUAUCUCCAGGAUUCUUCUUGACAGUUACAAAAUUAAUACCCUUCUGCUACUUAAUGAUUCAUUAUGUAUGUGUAACCAGUAUCUGGAUUUCUGUAGAUUCUGAUGCUUUGAAAUAAAAUUUAAAAUAAAUAAAUACGAAGCAAACUUUUAAAAA